UGUAGUGGGCAAAGCGUGAGGGAAACACCCUGAACCAUUCCGAACCAGGAAGUUAAGCCUCACAGCGGUGAUGAUACUGCAUCCUUACGGAUGUGGGAAAGUAGCUCCCCGCUACAC
This 117-nucleotide ribosomal RNA is filed under the name Caminibacter pacificus. Lineage: Bacteria; Pseudomonadati; Campylobacterota; Epsilonproteobacteria; Nautiliales; Nautiliaceae. The record is from RNAcentral.